CGGCGGCGAUGCCCACACAUAUAAUGGCGGGAAGUGUCGCAACGACGGCCAGCGCAACCUGCCACGCCAUCUGCUCGUCGAGGUCAUUGGUCAGAGAGGCGCGCUGGCGGUGGACUCGGUCAUAGUAGCACCGCACAUACGAGCCGACCGGGUGCUGCGCCCAAAGGGCCUCUCGCUCCGAGACAAAGAGCCACGCGUGCUCGGGGUCAAUGUCGGUGAGCAGCGUGACAUUGUCGACCGUCUGACCGUCGGCGAGUGCAUAGGAUGCCCGAAACCCAGAGAGGUAGAGCGGCUGCGACACGGCCGAGGGACCGCGGGCCACGUAGCGAGACUCUUUGAUCGUGAUGCGGCCGAGGAUGUGACAGUUGGCGGGACAGAGCCGUUCCGAUGUGGCGCCCAAGUCGCGGGCGCGACCGAUGGCCGGCAUGGCGAUCCAGUAAAAGAUGGCCGCGGCCGCGGCGAUACCGAGCGUCCACGACGCCACGACGACGAGACGGGCCUUUAACACUUGGCAUUUUGGCGCCCAGCGGAAGGGGGCGUUGAUCUCGGCGGCGUUGGCUUGCAUGGCGGUUCGGCGAUAGCGCGCAGUGGAUCGAAAAAAUUGUCUUUUUCUGCUCUCGAUAUGCGGCCUUUUUGUGGACCAAAUGCCCGCUUUGUUUGACCAAUCCUAAAUUUUUCGAUUUUCUAUUACACGAUUUUUAAUUCGUGG
This 709-nucleotide long non-coding RNA is filed under the name Pandoravirus salinus. Its description in RNAcentral is "putative ncRNA". The record is from RNAcentral.